UACGAAGGGGGCUAGCGUUGCUCGGAAUCACUGGGCGUAAAGCGCACGUAGGCGGGUCCUUAAGUCGGGGGUGAAAUCCUGGAGCUCAACUCCAGAACUGCCUUCGAUACUGAGGAUCUCGAGUCCGGGAGAGGUGAGUGAAACUCCGAGUGUAGAGGUGAAAUUCGUAGAUAUUCGGAAGAACACCAGUGGCGAAGGCGGCUCACUGGCCCGGUACUGACGCUGAGGUGCGAAAGCGUGGGGAGCAAACAGG
Molecule: ribosomal RNA, 253 nt
Filed under: uncultured bacterium
Lineage: Bacteria
Description: partial 16S ribosomal RNA
Rfam family: Bacterial small subunit ribosomal RNA
Source: RNAcentral